Panicum hallii is the source of this 577-nucleotide long non-coding RNA. RefSeq lists it as uncharacterized. NCBI's taxonomy places the organism in Eukaryota, Viridiplantae, Streptophyta, Magnoliopsida, Poales, Poaceae. The transcript has 3 exons. The record is from RefSeq and is a predicted model, not a curated record.
ACGAACAAUUAAUAAGUAGUAUGUGUUCAUUACUUGAGUUCAUCCUUUGCACCCCUUGAAAUUGGCAUUGGAACUGCAGUUAGAGUUUUAUAUCAUUCUUGUAACUGACGUGUACAAACUGCCACAAUAAAGUUGUGACAUCCAUGUGCCUAAAAGUUUGUCUUUUCAUGCAUAUGCUCUAAAAAAUAACCCUUCAAUUUAUAAGGCGUUAGUAUUCUGUUCUAAGCAGCAAAUUUCUUAUGUUUGUUUAUUCUGCUAACCAAUGAAUAAUGCAUGCUUGUCUCUUUCCACAUUUAUUUUACUUCCAAGGUAGCUGAAGAACAUCAAGGUGAGGACCUGAACGUCAUGCUGUAGAUGUUGCAUAUGCUCGAGGAGGACAUUUGUUUUUUGAGGACAAUUUCCGGAUCUUGGGUGAUGCAAAGUUGACUGCAUGGGAACUGUGGUAGAAGCAGGAGUUCUCAUUCCUGAAAAUCGCAUAUUUUCGCAGAGUAGUGCCAAUAAAAGAGCAAAAUGUUAUUGCCGACAUACUUGAUGCUGCUCAAGAAGGAUGUGAGAUGGACUGGAGUAGGUUUUGCAG